GGAGAACCCGCAGGAGAAACAGUGAACUCGGAAUUAAAGGACAAGGAAGGCUUUUGAGAAGUAACUCCAGUGCCGCUGCGGUUGUAAACCUCACGAUUACAGCUCAUGUUACAUGGAUCCUCAUUUCUUGAUUCCCUCGACCUUCUUGUGGUACAGACAUAAAUGAAGAGAAGACAUUUGUGCUAACACAGGGAGUGUCUGUCUCUGAAGCUCCUCCAAGGCCUCAGCAGAAAUAUGAAGAGCCAUUUCAGAGUUAAGAUGAAACCUAUUCUGAAAUUCAGUUUUAUGGAAGACACAAACCAAGGAAUACAGGCAAGAUUUGGACAUUUGAGUCAAGUAGAUUUGACACUGAUGGCUAGCCUUGGAAAAACUCUUCACUGAGGCUGGAGACCUGUCAUGAACUGCAGCCACAAAACAGCCCUUGCCAGCUGCCUGCUCCUUAUACCACAGCUUCUGGUCCCCAAAGCCCCCAGCUGAGCAGAUUGAGGUAAAUGCAAAGAUUGACGAUAAUAAAUUCAAGCUUUCCAAGUGAGUGAGUGAGUGAGUGAAAACACGGCAUUAAAGAAAACAUUUGGUAAAGUUGUCAGUGAUUCUCGACCCAAAACUAAGUGUUUUCUAGAUCAUAAGAGAAUAUGUCAGUUUUCAUCAUUUUGAUCCUGCAUGCAAAAAACAGAAAUGAAAUAUUCACGGUGAUGCAAGCUGGCUUUGAAAUCAGCAAGCCUUGGCUCACACCAUUCACCAAAUUGGCACAUUCAUCGGAAAAGAUGUUCAAAGUAGCUCACAGUAG
Equus quagga is the source of this 787-nucleotide long non-coding RNA. RefSeq lists it as uncharacterized. The record is from RefSeq and is a predicted model, not a curated record. The transcript is spliced from 4 exons. Lineage: Eukaryota; Metazoa; Chordata; Mammalia; Perissodactyla; Equidae.